Molecule: ribosomal RNA, 253 nt
Filed under: uncultured bacterium
Lineage: Bacteria
Description: partial 16S ribosomal RNA
Rfam family: Bacterial small subunit ribosomal RNA
Source: RNAcentral
UACGCAGGGCGCAAGCGUUGGUCGGAAGCACUGGGCGUAAAGCGCGUGUCGGCGUCUUGGCGAGUCGGGUGUGAAAUCCCGAGGCUCAACCUCGGAACUGCACUCGGAACUGCUUGGCCCGAGUCCCGGAGAGGGUGGCGGAAUUCCCGGUGUCGGGGUGAAAUCCGUAGAUAUCGGGAGGAACACCAGUGGCGAAGGCGGCCACCUGGAGGGUGACUGACGGUGAGCCGCGCAAGCGUGGGGAGCAAAUAGG